CUUGCGCACCCACUCACUCCUCGCGCUUUCUCCCUCGCGCUGUCCGAGCUCCAGCACACGGUGUUGUCACGGGAUAAUUAACUACCUUCUGGUACGCUGCAGAACAGAAACCGCGAUUUAACGCCUUGUGUUUCAAGAAUCCCAAGUCAGUCGGUGAAGACCAGAGGUUGCACACCACAAGCCCAGCGCUGCCAUGCUGAAGGACUGACGGGUCCAACACAGUCUCAUUACUGCCCUGAGAGUGGACCUUGGAGGAAAGGACCACCAAAGGACCCCCAAGGGGCCACAACUGGCUCCUACGGCCCAGAGUUUUAGACCGCAACACCCAUUCUUGUCCAUCCAUACACGGGGAGAUCCAAACAGUGGGUCUGUUGACGAUUACUCGUCCGUAUUCUCUUUUCAGUUCGCCCUCGCCCGGUGGUCAUCUCUCUUUCCACUUGGAUCUCUCCGUUCCUUCAGUUGUGUGGAGAGAGGACACGAAAAGGAGGAGAGAAGAGAUGGAGGACAGAAUGGAGGAGAGAAGAGUGUCAGCAAGAGAGGAGAGAGUUGGGAGCAAGGUAGAGAGAGGGGC
Molecule: long non-coding RNA, 571 nt
Organism: Esox lucius (northern pike)
Lineage: Eukaryota; Metazoa; Chordata; Actinopteri; Esociformes; Esocidae
Source: Ensembl